GUCCCACCACGAGAGUUUGUAACACCUGAAGUCGGUGAGGUAACCUUUUGGAGCCAGCCGCCUAAGGUGGGAUAGAUGAUUGGGGUGAAGUCGUAACAAGGUAGCCGUAUCGGAAGGUGCGGCUGGAUCACCUCCUUU
RNAcentral lists this ribosomal RNA (138 nucleotides) under Enterococcus mundtii. RNAcentral's name for it is "partial 16S ribosomal RNA". It matches the Rfam family "Bacterial small subunit ribosomal RNA", at positions 1396 to 1533 of the family's 1533-position model. The record is from RNAcentral. Lineage: Bacteria; Bacillati; Bacillota; Bacilli; Lactobacillales; Enterococcaceae.